Long non-coding RNA from Tripterygium wilfordii, 2460 nucleotides. RefSeq lists it as uncharacterized. The record is from RefSeq and is a predicted model, not a curated record. NCBI's taxonomy places the organism in Eukaryota, Viridiplantae, Streptophyta, Magnoliopsida, Celastrales, Celastraceae. The transcript is spliced from 3 exons.
AGAGAGAGCAGGAAAGUCACAGAGGGAAUUUUCUCUCCUUUUGUGCGUCUCUCCGUCUGUCCGAUUUUAAAAGGCGUGACGUGUGUUUUGCCAUUUUGAGAUGAAAGAUUGAAACCCGUAACCGCCUCUACGCUUUCUCUCAUCUGUUCCUUUUCCCCCCAUUUUCUCCGGUCUCUCGUCUUCUCUGCCCCAAAGGGCUGUGCCUCGCAUCUCUUCGAUCUACCCUAGCGUGAAGCCCUAAUCGCAAGCUCGUCCUAAUCUCCCCUCCCUUCUCUACUGAACCUUAAUCUCCAACAUCCUCAAGCCUCAAUUUCCAGAUCGUCGAAUCGCAGAGAGGAGAGAUGCAAAAAUAUGUGAUGGUCUCGCAGAAUUUUCAACUUUCAACACUUCUCUCUCUGGCGAUCUUGAAUUCCUCUCUUCCUCUUUAUCUCUCACAAUUGGCUCUCCGAUUCCUCACUGGAUUGUCUGAUUGUUUUUCUCUACUCUUCUUCCUCAGCGAAGUAAUUCUCUCGAGAAAACCGUUGUAAUCGGUGAUGAGGAGAAGAGCGCUCUACAAUACCGUCGCCGAGUAUGGCAUGAUCCAGAUGUCUCUCGCGGUAUCUGCAGAUCUGAUUACACCUAUGGGGAGGAGCAACUGAGGAGAGGCGCUCUAUAAUACCGGCGACGAGCAUGGCAUGAUCCAGAUGACACUUGCGGUAUCUGUAGAUCUGACCUAUGGAGAGGAGCAACGAGGAGAAUAGGCGCUUUACAAUACCGGCGACGAGCAUAGCAUGAUGCAGAUGACACUUGCGGUAUGUAUCUGUAGAUCUGGUAACGUUUUCUGAUUUUAUUGUGUUUUUCCUGUUCUUUGGUGGCGGUAGUUCCUAAUUUGGAUUCAUAAUUAGGUUAGACAUACGGCUAGUUUUGCCCCUCCCUCCGUUUCAACAUGUUUCUUGCAUUUGCAUAUGUUAUGCAAUUUAAAUCUCUAUUCUAUUCUCUUGGUUUUGCACAUGAAAGUGUUUACGAGCUUGAUCUAUUGAGUAUUUCUGAGCAGAACCCUGGCCCAGUAGUUGCUGUAAUUAUACUCCAGGUCAAUAGUAAUUGUACAAAGUGAUGUCCAGUUCUUUCAGUGUAAUGUAAUGAUUAGUGAUGGUAUACUUACUGGAAUAAUUACAGUAGGAAGAUAUGCAAAAGAAUUUUCUGCAAGUUUUCAUAUAAUGCUACAUAAAAGUUUUCUCAAAAAAUAAACUAAAAUUUGCAUGGAUACAUGUAACCACUGGAAUAAUUUUUAUAUGAACUUUCUUGCAGACAUUUUUUUUCUUCCAGAAAAGCUAAUAGCCUUUAUUUAUCUAUGUUAUAAACAUUUUUAUGUUCUUAUAAAUUGAAAUUUGAGUUACUUAUUUUGAAACAACAGAAAUAAUUCCUGCUGUGUUUUCGCUAUUCCUGGGUUUUCGUUUGUUGCUCCUUUCUUCCCAGUUUGGCUCUCGAGUCAAUUUCUAUAGCGCUUACUUUAAAGAUACAACGCCACAGAAAUACUCCGUAGUCGACGGUCGCUCUUUCAUCUUACCCAACCAAAUACCAGCUGAUAAAUCUAUGGACAGGGCCCUUUAUUGUUAGAAUUAGCAAAAAGUUGUCGGUACUUAUCAUCAGAACGAAACUUUCCCAAAACAUUUGAGUUGCAAAUUAUUUUAAAUACAGAACAUUUCUUUCGCAUAAUAGGGUCUGUUUGGUUACAGUUUUCAAAACUGUUUUCUGUUUUUGAAAAUUCGUUUGCGUGGGUGUUUUUAUAAACUGUUUUGUAAAAUUGAAAAAAAAAACUGUUAUUUGAAGUUUUGUAAAAUUCCUUUCUGUUUUCUCUUUCAUCUUUCUUCGUGCAGUAUCCUCUACCAAAUGAAUUUUGUUUUCAUCAUUAUUUCUUAAAAUUGUUUUCAAAAUCUAAUCUUAAAAUCAGUUUUUGAAAGUAAAAAACCAAAACCAUUUCCAAACCACCCUAAACAUCUUGUGAAGUGUUAGGGUUUAGGUAUGAGGUUGGAGAUACGUUUAAGACCAUUAUUACUUCAAUUUGGCAGUAUCACAGAAUAGCUUGAUCUUUCUUGAAAUAGGUUAACUAAUCAAUGUUAAGAGUUUUGUUUUGUCCUUCUAAUUUUUUUGUUGCCAUCUUUUUAUUUGAGUGUUUUGAGUUUUUCAUAGAAUUUUUUUUUGUUAACCAAGGCUGUUAAAAAGAAAAUUACUUGUAGAAUGUUCGACGCUGGAUUUGUACUUGGGCAUUUGUUUCUUGAACCACGCUCAUAUUUACAUAUUUUCUUCAAUUGUGUACUGGAAAUCCAAAGGGAGGAGGUAUGGCUGGUCUGAUAGAUGCGGCUGUUAACUCAUUUUUAUCUUUCCCUGUCGAUUAAUCUUGUUUUGAAUAUAUUUGAUCACAAUCCAUGGUUCAUUUGAUGGCAAUGAAUGGGUGGCACCAUUCUAAAGAGGUGCUCUGCA